Long non-coding RNA from Cyprinus carpio (common carp), 1641 nucleotides. The record is from Ensembl. Lineage: Eukaryota; Metazoa; Chordata; Actinopteri; Cypriniformes; Cyprinidae.
UGUCUGAUGUUGCCUGUUGAAGUUCAUAUGGACUGCUUUCCAAGACAAGAGCCCAAUUAUUCCUUUGCACAAAUGCAAGAUUUUCUAAAUGUCACCCGUGAACCAAUAGAAGAAUGUUUCCCUUUGAAAGAUCUUCUCAAAGAAGUCACCACUGCUGAUAAACACACGGCUGAGUUGGAGCUCCUGGAAAUGCCUGAAAGCUGCUUUGCUAACAUCACCUUCAAGGAGCCACAAUCUCCAGGUAUGGGAAAUUGCUUUGCAUAUUUAAUCACAAACAAAGAGUGGUUCCUGCCGUAGAUUGCUUUUCUAAUCUCUCUAGUGACUUCAAAACCUUUCAUUCCAGUUGCUUCGAGGUCUUACGCUGAGAUGGAAUUAGACCUGCUUCUUUCACCAUCUAGUCAUACGCUGUGUCUGCCAGACCUGUGUGUGUCCAGCAAACAGCUGUCAGCUGAGAUUCUGUCACCAGUUUAUAAUCAGCAUUUCAUGUCAGACAGUGAUUGUGAAAAUAUGGAAAAAGCUGUUUGGAUGGCAGAGAAACAUCCCCAAUGUGUGGCUCGAUUUUUACUUGCUGGUAAUGUGUAGAAAAUAAUGUGAGAAACUUAGUGUGCAUCCAUAGAAGUGUGUUUAUUUACUAAAAACAUUCACACAAAUACUCCUAUCUUGGCCAUUUUGUUCUUUAGUCAAGUAUUGAUGGCUAGACAAAUAUAUAUAUAUUUUUUUUAGAGCCCUUAAACUCCUUUGUGUUUUUGUACAGAACCAGAGGUAGCUAAGCCACUGGUCCACAUUCAGUCACUCCCAGAGCUUCUCACACUCCUGAAGGUGGAGGUGGAACAGGUUGCAGAACCCAAAGACAAUAUGGGUCAGUUUCACCUCACUGGCAGUACAGUGAUGCUUCCUGAAAACAUCUUCAAAAAUCUCUCCAUCUAUACUGAGAAAAUGUCCACAGAAGACUGUAAGAGAGCUGUGAGAAAGCCACAUGUGGAUGAAACAUUCUCGUCACUGUCUAUUGUGAAUAUAGAUGAGUUGCUGAGUAAGUGUACUUCAAAUGCAGGCACCACCGCAGAUCACCUUUCCCAGAGUAAACCACUGCAGUCAGCUGUACCUACACAGGUGGAUAGAGGUACGACUGUGAAGUUCCUUAUAAUGGAGUCUCACCAACAAGACAGUUCUACAAUGACCACAACCAGAGGAGACUGUAAAGCUGCAGAGAUAAAACAACACAAGUCUGGUCCAGAAGAAAGAUGCUCUGGGAAUUCUUCCACAAGGCCAUCAGAACAGCAGGCCGUCAUCUCUAAAGUGAUUGAGAUGUCUAAGUCUUCUCCACUGAAGCCCAGUGUUAAAUAUAUUGAAGUAAUAUCCAAUAUACAAACACUUCCUAAGCAGUCAGAACAGAAAAGAGAAGAUAUGAUCUCUAAAUCAUCUCCAUUAUCAAACUGUUUGAGAGGCAGAAAGAGAAAUAAUUCUCUAGUUCUGUCUCAUGAAGACCUGAACCCUUUGUCGUCUUUUCUAACAUUAAGAACAAUGAAAAAAUGUCCAAUGCAAAAACCUCAACGGAGCAGUCCAACAUCUGCAGGUAGAGUGAGAGAAUUAAUUGUGUUUAUUGCAACUUUCCUUCCUUAUUGUAACAUAUAUCCAAGUUAA